This is a non-coding RNA of Callithrix jacchus (white-tufted-ear marmoset), 7586 nucleotides long. NCBI's taxonomy places the organism in Eukaryota, Metazoa, Chordata, Mammalia, Primates, Cebidae. The record is from RefSeq and is a predicted model, not a curated record.
AGUUGGGCCUAGUGGGUAAUGUGCCACUAAAAUAUUGGAUUAGUUUAAAGGUCUCUGCUACUCUAUAUUUGUAUAAGGUGUGAUGAUGAUACAUUUUAUUACCUUCUUAGCUGUUUUCCACCAUAAGCGGCUAUAAUUUUUAUUUAUUUUUUAUUUUUUGAGAUGGAGUUUUGCUCUUGUUGCCUAUGCUGGAGUGCAAUGGUAUGGUCUUGGCUCACCGCAACCUCUGCCUGCCAAGUUCAAGCCUUUCUCCUGCCUCAGCCACUGGAGUAGCUGGGAUUACAGGCAUGCACCACCACGUCUGGCUAAUAUUUUGUAUUUUUUUAUAGAGACGAGGUUUCUCCAUGUUGAUUACACUGGUCUUGAACUUCUGACCUCAGGUGAUCUGCCCACCUUAGCCUCCCAAAUUGUUGGGAUUACAGGCGUGAGCCACCGCGCCUGGCAAGUGGCUGUUACUAAAACAUCUCAUCUAGAACUGAAGUGGGAGGAGAAGAAGCCUACUGAAAUAUGAUGUGAGGAUCUUAAGUAUUUUUUUAGUGUAGAUUAUAGGAAUUGUUCUUAAAAUGCUGAUUGUAUAGUGUGAAACCAUGGAAGAGUGAGCCAUUAGGGUGAUGGCAUUGAAGAAUGAGGACAGAGACAGGAUUGGUACCAGUUGUGAAGCAGGAGCGGUGAGAAGCAAACCUUGAACACCGAACUGAGGAAGAAAGUGGCUUUUUAUUCGGCCAGGAGCUGCUGUGGGGGCUACAGCUUUAUUCACCAAGCUCCCCGAGAAGCAGCUUCUUUCCGCUUUUAUAGGAUUACAAUGCUAAAGGGGAAACUGAGGUGAAACUAUGUCCAUUGGCUGGACAUCAGACCUUACAAUCUUUUGGCUUCUUUGAUUUGCUAGUUCAUAUGCAGUGCGAGUGGGAACAGGCAGGGGAGGGGGCUUACAGAGUCAAGACAAAGGCGGUAAGUUAUUAGUUGGCAGAGGUGUUUCCAGGAGGGAGCCUAGGCUGUACAGACGUAGGGGUGUGACCCAGUACCAGGCUUCAACUCCAGCCAGUAGGGAUAACAUUCAUUUGCAACUCUUUCAAGGUUUGUAGAUAGCAGAGAUGCUGGGAACUGAAAAGGGAGUUAUCUUCCCAGCUCUUUGGUAUUUUAUUCUUUUUUUUUCACCCUCCUUGCAAUCUGGAGGGGAGGAGGAGGUGGAGGCCAGAAGAGGGGAGGAGGUCUCCCCUCUCAGUAGAGGUUGUGGACUGUGUUAUCAAAUGGAUAGAGUAGGCCCAGAGAUUCUAAAAUGCCUUUAUAUGGAGUUGAGCUGAGUAAGGGUAGUAGUGGGGAUUAACACCUACUAGAAAUCCAUGCUGAGAGGAAUUCCAAGAUGUUUUGAUAAAGAAUGAGGAGGUCAAGUUUCCUAGGGCCAAAGUCCGUGGAAAUCUGAUACCUUAUUGAGAGAAGUGACAGAUUGUUAUGUUUAAACCAGAAGUUUUAGGAAAGGAAUUAGAACAUAGACCUUUAAGGCUCUGCAGGCCUGGCAUGGCACAGGAAGGAACCAUUGAAGGGUAUUUGGUGUUUUGGAAUCUGAACUGUCAUUUAGGGGACAGUGGUGUGAAUGCUUUAUACUUGACCCAGGUGGACUGAGAAACUUGAGUGAUUAUCCCCGUAAGUGUACUUUUUUUUUUUUUUUUUUGAGAUGGAGUUUUCCUCUUGUUGCCCCGGCUGAAGUGCAGUUGGCACAAUCUCGGCUCACCGAAACCUCCGCCUUCCAGGUUCAAGUGAUGCUCUUGCCUCAGCCCCCCAGGUAGCUGGGAUUACAGGCAUGCGCCACCACACCUGGCUAAUUUUGUAUGUUUAGUAGAGACGGGGUUUCUGCACGUUGGUUAGGCCGAUCUCAAACUCCAGACCUCAAGUGAUCCACCUGCCUCAGCCUCCCAAAGUGCUGGGAUUAUAGGCAUGAGCCACCGUACCUGGCCUGAGUGUACUUUUUUUUUUUUAAGCCCACAAUCUAUAUAGUCAGAGUCUGUUCCUCCCCCCCAGGAGUACACUGGCAUUCCUCAACAGGUCUAGGAAAAACCAACAAAAAAAGUCUAUACUCUCUUACUUUUCCCAACAUCUCUCUUAUUUUUCCAACAUGUCAUACAUUGUUAAUAAUAAAUAGCUACAGUUUAGCAAACAGUUACUUUGUAUCAGUGGCUGAGCAUUUUACUUGCUUUAUUUCAUUCAUUUCACUCUAUGAGGUGGGUACUAUUAUCCCUGUUUUCUGGAUGAGAACAUUGAGGCACAGCGAGGUUAAUUAACUUUUCCAAGAUCACAUAGCCAACAAGUCAUGGAGUGAGGCAGUCUCAUGCCAGAGCUUAAGCCUAGAGCAUAGUUCCUGGCUCUAUAGCUUUAGCAAGUGACUGGCUCUGUGAUGAGGACCAACCUCUCUAAUGUUUAUCUGUAAAAUAGGAAUUGUAAAUAGUUACUAACUCAGUGGACAAAGUGAAAUUAUAUGUGUUAAGCACUUAGCAGAAUAAGCACUCAAUGGAUAGUAGGAGUUAUCACAUCUUCAUAUUUGUGCAUUACCGUCACAGUUGACAGAUUAAAGCCAGAAGCAACUUGUUGAGCUACAGAUUUAGUGUACUAAUGAAUUCCAUGUUUGUCUCCAUGGAAAGGCAUGUGAGAUCUGUUAUUGUGACUGUCUGUACUUUUGUAUUGUUGUCUACUACCUAUGUUUAUUAAAUGAUAAGGACAGUAAUGCAACAAAGUAGUAAAAAUAAUUUUGCAAAUGCCCACUAUUGUGGGGGCUAUCACAGCACUGCCACUGGCGGGCAGCACCUUGGUGGUAAGUUCCAGAGGUCACUGCCAGCCAGAGCUAGAGGCUCAGAUCUGGCAUGCAAGAGGAAGCUGAGUGGGAGCCACUAGGGAUCAUGGCCAAGAGUGUUACCACCCAAGACCCAGAAUGGCUGAGUGGCCUCCCUGGAGCACGGCAGUGGCAGAACAACUCUGUGAACUCAGGUCUGGUGAUGCCUAAACUAGUGCUCUUCACCAUCUUGUGUGGACCCCUUUUGUCCAUCAGAAACCUUGAAUCCUCUCAGCAAAUGAGGUGACUACUCAGAUCAGUGACUUAGUCCUGUUUGGUGUUAUUUAUAUAUAUAUAUAUAUACAACAUAGCACAUACUAAUAAAUACCUACUAUAUGCCAGGCACUGCUUGCCACUGGAAUCUCUCACUCAGACAUUGUCUUUACUUUGCAGUUCUGCUUUUCACACUGUGAAAGCAGAGUCUGGAAGAUGUUUUGGAUUCAUAUGCAUUCAGCAUACAUUUGAGUGCCUAUGAUAAGCAAGUAUUCUCAUUUAGAAUUUGGGAAUACUAGUUAUACAUUUUGACAAAGCAAACCAUAAAUGCAAACUAUUUAUAUGAUAAAUAACUUUGGACUAGUGGUGGGAGGAAGGACCAGCUAUUGAUGGGUAGGAACUAGCAAGUAGCAGAAUGGCCUGCAUAGACCAGACCCAUCCAUAGUGACGCAGGUGCAACAGCCACCCUCAGACACAUGGAUAAAGGAUCCACCAGGAAAAAACUCCUGGCCUAUCAGGUGCUAUGUUGCAGUUCAGUUACUGGAAGUAUUUCCUCAGAAGUGUUUUUAGGGUUAAGGUACACAUUCUUGCAGCUUUACCUUCUGCCAAGUCACUGUUUAAGGGAAGCAGCAAUGAAUUACACUGUUCCCAUAGUCAAGGACAUUGUGUCCCACCAAGAACUACCCCUACUUAAGGAGGUGCUGGAUGUCAAAGAUUUGGAUCGACCAUUAUGGGUGUUCAGAGGAGAGAUUAUUUCCAGUUCAAGACCCAGGGAAGAGGACAUAGGGUGGAUAGCAGAGUUAUAGGGAGGAUUUAACAGAAGACAUGUACACAUUAGUUGAGUAUAAAUAAAACAAAUGAAUGAGACACAAAGCCUUGAAUGCCAGAAAUAACAGUAGUUGUGUUGUGGAAGGAUAUAAAACUCAACUGGGAGUGGAAGAGAAAGGCAGUAGUGAGUCUAGGAGAUGUACAGUAGGUUGAGGUGAACUUAUCCUGAAGACUACUUAUAAUCCAAAGAUUAUUUUUGGUUUGAAUUUGUUUUGGUUUGAAUUCAUGGUAUCUGUUUUCUUUGAAUGGAUGGUUGGGGAGGGUAGCUCGUAGAAUACAUUCUUACCAAAUCAGCAUUGAUUUUCAGGACAGUACAGAGAAAGACUACUGAGCUGAUGUAGGAGCUUCGGCUACAGUCGCUAUGGCUUUGAGCAAGCCGUUUAACCUUACUACCGCUUCAUGACUGUGGCUAACAAAGUUGGGAUAGUAUAGAGCAUAGAGAAUUUUUAGGCCAGUGAAACUAUUAAUACUGUUUGUGAUACUAUAAUGGUAGGUACAUGUCAUUAUACAUUUGCCUAACCCCACAGAAUACACAGCACCAAGAGUGAACCCUAAUGUGAACUCUGGUCUUUGAUGAUGCCAUGUCAGUGUAGGUUCCUCUGUGUAACAAGUGUACCACUCUAGUGGUGGGACGGAUUAUUGAUAAUGGGAGAGGAUAUGCAUGUGUGGGGGCAGGCAGUAUAUGGGAAAUCUUUCUACUUCUGCUAGUUUUGCUGUAAACCUAAAACCUCUCUAAAAAAUAAAGUCUGUUUUUUAAAAAGUAGGGAUAGUACUAUGGCAAUGUAAAAUCAAAGUAGGGCUGGGUGUGGUGGCUCACUCCUGCAAUCCCAGCACUUUGGGAACCCAAGGUGGGCGGAUCACGAGGUUAAGAGAUCAAGGCCAUCCUGGCCAAUAUGGUGAAACUUUGUCUCUAUUAAAAAUACAAAACUUAGCUGGGCAUGGUGGUGCCUGUCUGUAGUCCCAGCUACUUGGGAGGCUGAGGCAGGAAAAUCGCUUGAAUCCGGGAGGCAGAGGUUGCAGUGAGCUGAGAUCAGGCCACUGCACUCCAGCCUGGCAACAGAGCGAGACUCCCUCUCAAAAAAAAAAAAAAAAUCAGCGCAGCUGGUGGACGGGCUCUCGGGUGGCCCUGGCUAGGGGAGGCGAGUUGCAUGUGUCACUUCAGCUGGCAAUAGCGGUGGGAGCAGAGCCAGCGGGGCCUGUGGGUCUGCCUAGAUUUGUGAAAUGGCUGCUGACAUUUCUGAAUCCAGCAAGGCUGUUUGCAAAGGAGACCAAAGGAGCAGUGCCAAGUUAGAUGCUGAUCACCCACUUCGAGUCCUUUACUGGGGAGUCUGUUCAUUACCAACAGAGUACUGUGAAUAUAUGGCUGAUGUUGCUAAAUAUAGACAAUAGUUAGAGAAGAAUUUUCCAAAUGAAUUUGCAAAAUUUACUAUAGAAAAUUUACCCAAACAGGAAACUGGAAUUAGUGAGGGUCAAGGAACAGCAGGGGAAGAAGAAGAGAAGAAAAAACAGAAGAGAGGUGGAAGGGGUCAAAUAAAAAAAGAAGACUGUACCACAAAAGGUUACUAUAGCCAAAAUUCCCAGAGCAAAAAAGAAAUGUGUGACAAGAGUGUGUGUCCUUGCAACUUUUGAAAUUGAUCUUAAAGAAGCACAAAGAUUUUUUGCUCAGAAAUUCUCCUGUGGUGCCUCAAUAACAGGGGAGGAUGAAAUUAUCAUUCAGGGAGACUUUACAGAUGACAUAAUUGAUGUCGUUCAGGAAAAAUGGCCAGAGGUAGAAGAUGACAGCAUCGAAGAUCUAGGAGAAGUGAAGAAGUGAAUUUGAAAAUUUGUAUUUAAUGGCCUGAACUGAAAGUUGAUAUGGCCAAAGGGAGAGAGGCCUUUUAAAAAAUAUUUAUAUAUAUAUUUAUUCUACAGUGAAACUGCAGACUGCCCUCGUCCUUGGCAUUUUCACUGUUCUGUACCAGGUUGUUUGUUUUUUUAUUGCCAAAGUCAAAUAAACAGGGGAGACUGUCAUUGCUCACACAUGAGUGAAUUUAGUCAAAUAAAAAAUUCAGAGGCCGGGCGCGGUGGCUCAUGCCUAUAAUCCCAGCACUUUGGGAGGCUGAGGCGGGUGGAUCACGAGGUCAAGAGAUCGAGACCAUCCUGGUCAACAUGGUGAAACCCUGUCUCUACUAAAAAUACAAAAAUUAGCUGGGCAUGGUGGCGCGUGCCUGUAAUCCCAGCUACUCGGGAGCGUGAGGCAGGAAAAUUGCUUGAACCCGGAAGGCGGAGGUUGCGGUGAGCCGAGAUUGUGCCAUUGCACUCCAGCCUGGGUAACAACAGUGAAACUCCAUCUCAAAAAAAAAAAAAAAGAAAAAAAAAUUCUGGUCAUUUGGUACUGACUUUCUCUUUAUUUCUCUCUCUCUCUCUCUCUUUUUUUUUUGAAAUGGAGUCUGGUACUGUCGCCCAGCUGGAGUGCAGUGGUGCAAUCUCGGCUCACUGCAACCUCCGCCUCCCAGGUUCAAGCGUUCCUCCUGCGUCUGCCUCCCAAGUAGCUGGGACUACAGGCAUCCACCAUCAUGCCUGGCUAAGUUUUUGUAUUUUUAGUAGAGACGGUGUUUCACCAUGUUGGCCAGGCUGAUCUCCAACUCCUGACCUUGUGAUUUGCCCGCCUUAGCCUCCCAAAGUGCUGGAUGUGAGCCACGGUGCCCAGCCUGACUUUCUCUUUAUCUCUUUUUAACUUUAUUUUUUGAAAAACCCAGUAGACCUUUUGCGGGGAGCAUUUUUGUUGAUUAUUUUACUGAUCUAAAGCUGAGUGAUUUUUUUUAAAAGAGUUUGAAUUUGGCUUCCUUACCAGUAAUAUAUUUCCUUGCUUCUUUGAUGUGAUGGUUUUGAGAUGUAUGAGAAUCUAAUAGAUUUGUGGUUGAAUUUGCUUUGUUGUUAUGAAGUCCAUCCUGUGGGCAACAUACUGUUGGUAGGAAUUGUUCAAGCUAUUCUGGAGAUUAUUUGGUAAAGUAUACUAAAAGCUUUAAAACCAUGUAUGUGCACUGUUUGAACCAGUAAGCCACUUCUUUGAUAUUAGAAGACUUAGAAGAAAUAAUCAGCCUUGCAUAAAACUUAUGGAUGAAAGUAUUCAUCACAAUAUUAUUUACAAUAAAAAAUUGUAAAUGUUAUAAAUGAACAUUUGGAAAAUGGUUAAAGAAGUGAUGGCACAUUGUGUGGUAGAAUAUUAUGCAUAUGUUUAAAGAAUCAUAUUUUCUAAGAUUACUUGGAAACAUGUUUGGUAAUGUCAAGUGGGGCAUCCCAGACAUUUAUUUUAGAAAUUUAUCAUCAUAAUUUUAGACUUUUAUCAUCAUCAUUGUUGUGAGUGGAAGGCCGUUCAGAGAGGCUAGAGGUUCUUAUUCUGGCUAUAAAUUAUGUGAGUAAAAUUCUGCUAGCCAAUUAAAAAUGUGCACCCAUGUUCAAUCUAUCAUCCUGGAAAUAGCAAUUGAAACACGUCUUCUCACAAGAGAAAAAUGACAGUUUUAAUGAUGCAUUAUAUGAAUUUAAACUUUAAGUCAGGUGCUGCAAAUUGGAAAGGAGACUUGUGGUGUUUUAAAUUUCUGUGGACCCUUAAGAAACUUGGAACCCAUGAAACCACUGUUUAUUGCCAUGCAAAUUACAAUCUUGAAUGAGUGUUUUUUUUUAAAUAAAGUAUUAGAAAACGUGUAAUAAAGAUGUAAAAUUGAAAAAUGAAAUUCUGCAUUAA